CACCCAUCAUCCUAGGGAGGCCAUUCCUGAACAUCUCGGGAGGUAUCAUCUACGCUAGUGCUGUCAAGAUCAGUGUCUACAUCAAGGGAAGGAAGGAGACAUUUUCCUUCAAGAACAAGACUAUACAAAUCUCAGAGCAAUCCCAACAUUGACCAAGGAAGAGGACCAACAGGAGGAACAAGAACAAGCAAAUGUGUACCGAGUCAGCUAAGAUGGUUACUGCAGCUCAAGGAGGUCAAGAUCGUCAACUCAAGUCACCUUUCUUGAUCAAGAAGGACGACCCUGGUGUUCCAAGCAUCGAGUGCACAAUCAACGGAUAUUCUUUUCAGAAGACACUCUACGACACCGGAUCUAACGUCAACAUAAUGGCCGCAGUCACUUAUCAGCUCCUGCAUGGAACCAUGUCCCUACAACCAACAUACAUUCAGCUCCAGAUGGCAGAUCAGACAUUCUGAAAGAUUGAAGGUUAUUGAUAUGGGAGAAGACGAGUACGAUCCACCCAUCAUCCUUGGAAGACCGUUCUUUAGCACCAGUAAAGCAAUCAUAUACAUUGGAACCAGAGAAGUCCACAUACACUUCCCCUCAGAGAAGGUACGCCACUGUUUUACUGACCCUAACUAUAUAGUUGAAGACUCUAAGCAGGUCAGGACAAGAAGACGACGACGCAACCGCAACUAGAGGAGGCAAAUCAUCAAGGACGGAUGGGUAGACUAUGAAGGAGAAGUUGUACGGUCUGAAGACAUACAAGUUGAACAGAACUGUCCUGAGGAGACCGUAGCACCGAGUCAGGUGUGGAAAGAGAAGAUAGUUAUACACGAAGAGGAAGCACCGUCGGAACCACCGACUACGCCAUCCAGCGAAUCCCAGAAUGACUGAGAAAAUUGGAGAGUCCCGUUCGGAGGACUUAAAAACACCGAACGCCUUGCCAAGAGGUAAACUUGGUAGUUAUUUUUUUUCUUUCAAUUAUUUAAAAUAGUUUGCUUAGUUAAUCAGGUUCAUAUCAUCUUGAAAAGAAAAUAAAAAUGUUAAAAAUAGUAAGCCCCAUGUGAGUAUGCUCAUGGCAUAAAACCCAUAAGUACAUUCACUGUGGUGGCAUAAAAAAAUAAAAUAAAUAUAUUCCUAUCCUAUAAAAAUGAAAAUAUAAAAAUAAAUUUAUGAUCCUACCAAAGAAAGUAAUAUUUAUUGAGGAGGCUCAACAUGAUAAAGGCUAGAUAUUUAUGCUAACACUUAACUAGUUCCACAAAGCUUUGUUGUCUAUUUGAGCUCCACAGAAUUCAAGGAUCAAAGAAGACUAGCAGACGGAGGACAUCCUAAUCGCUGUCAGGGUGCUGCCACAUUCAAAUACACCUCCGCCACCUGCUAGCUACAUCAGAAGGAAUUACGUCAAAACCCAGCUUUGGGGAGAGCAACCCCAUUUAUCCAGCUAAGUGCUCUACUUAUGUUUAUACUUUACUUAAAUAAUAAAAAAGAUGCACAAUCAUAAAAACCCAAAUAAAGAUUUUGUGCUUAUAUAUAUAUAUAUAUCUUUGCUUAGUUUGCUAAAUAAAUAAAUAAAUAAAAUUUGCUAUGAAUCCUCAUGAUAAGCUCUCACAUGGAAAGAUGAAUAGUUGCUCUGCCAUGACUAGUUCUCAAAAUUGAAAUCUCUCUCAAGUUUAGGCAUCACUGUUAUUAAUUAAGAUUUGCUCUAAACCUGAACUUGUGGGAAGAGUACUUGAUCUAAAGUCUAAGUCGUUAACGGAUAUGAUAUGGGAAGGUUGAGCUGCUGUUUAUCUGUUCCUAGAGAUGCUAGAAUUCUGGAGAAUUUUAUCUUUGAAAAUCUUUAAAAUAUUACAUGAUGAGUUCCUAUAUAAUGAGAGUUUAAAUUCCUACCACAGCCAUAUAUACAUGCUUGCUAGACUUUGAGCCACACAUUUACUUUUUACUGCUUAUGAGCAUUGAGUGUGGUCAAGCUGUGUAGACCCUUAGGAGCUUGUCAUGUGGUUAAGUCAAGAUUCACUUGCACGUUCACUCAUACAUGCUGCUUCUACUCUGGAAGUACGCAUCCACACACAUCCACUCAUUUCCAUCUCCAGAGCCACCUAAAAAUAUUCUACUCCUAAUCCGGGAGAGAAUAGCCAAAAACAUUUCUGUUUUUCCCCUGUGAAAUAAAUGCUCAAGUUAUCUUGGUUACUACCACUUGCUAUAUUAUUUCAGGAGAUGAGUGCUCUAAUAUAAAAAAAGAGAGAAAAAAAUAAAUACGAGGAAAUAAAAAGGGGCAAGUGCCCGGAACCUCGAAAGAAAAGAAAAAAAAGUGAGACGAGAGGUAAAAAUGGACAAGUGUCCGACAGUAGAAUUAGGGGUACAAGAUACCCACCUGAGAGAAAAGAAAAAGAAAAUAUAGAGCAUCUCAUUCUCCUCAAAAAGUUUCAAAAGAGCAAGAAAGGUAUGUACCCCCUCAAAAGAGCACAAGUAGAAUUAGACUUUCACUAUUGUUAUUACCAUCAUCACCAUACAUCAUUCAUUCGCCACACAUGCACAUCUUGAUUUGACUUAUUGACUUGUUCUUCUAGAUCCAUGGUUUGACUAUGCAAUAAAUGUCUUGUAAGUAUGUAUUAGCUGUCUCCCACCUAUGAGCUCCAGAUAUCAAAAGCCUUAUUAGAGUAGGGUGAGAGAGAAGGCAAUGCCACUAUGCCUUAUACCACAACUACCACAUACUUUGAGAGAAGGCAUACACCAUUCAUGCCUUGGUAAGGAUCCAGAAAUACCACAAAAGAGAGACUAGAGAGAGUCAUACAAGGAAUGUCUGAGUUUUAUUUGAAAAUCUGCAAAAACUCUAGAGCUAUAGUUGAUCAAGAAUAAGAGACAUGGUGCUUGACUAGACCGUUCUAUCUUUUAACUACUCAAGACAGAAGUGACGGUUACAAGUCCCAUGUGUUGGGUAUUUUAAACGCAAACAGAAAAAUCCGCAAGCGCACGGAUACCGAUGUAGCCUUCACCCGGGAGUAUUCCAGAGUAUCGAUUUUCCACAGGGAACGUGAGUGUACUAAUUAAGAAUCAAGAUCGCCCAAGGAUAACUAUAUAAGUAUUUUUGGUGGGAAGAGAGGAAGUUUCCUGAGAGUUCUCUAGUUGAUCUAAGAAUCAAGAAUUACUUCAAGAUUAUCUAUAUCGGGACAUCAGAGCACUAACCACAGAAAGAGAUGAGAAGGGGGCUAGGAAGGUCUGACUACGGUCCUACAAACACCGAUCCGAACGUGGUGGAAUACGUCGACCGUUAGGGCUGUCACUACCCUAAGGCUACCACAACAAUCCGUAGGAUUGGGUGCAAUUCCAGGUAAUUGCAAGACUAAACACCACGUCUAAUCUAUUAAUUACUACUCUAGCGUUAUAAAGACUAGAGCACUUGAUGCAAGUGGGAAUCCAAUAAAUAACUUGAAUAUAAAUAAAAGUAAUUAGAGAACUCAGGAUUAUGAAUUGAAGAACCUGGAGAACGAUGAAGAACGAACCAGAUGCUGCAAAAGUAUAAUGUUGAGGAAGAUCCGACAGAUUCGGCUCCUCCUCCGCUCUCCUCUUCUCUCUUCCUAUUUUCUAGAUUACAACUAGAACUAACUAGAACUAGAACUAGAGGAACUAGAACUAGAACUAGAUGAACUAGAACUAGAUCUAGAUGAACUAGAGGUAGAACUAGAAGAACUAGAGGGAUCCUCUCUACUUGGAUGAAGAAUUGAAACCCUAGCUUUGAUUCUGUAGAAGAGGUAUGAUCUCCAGGGGCCAGGGGGGUCUGGUUUUAUAGUCCCUUCAAGUGAAUUUGGGCCGUCGGAUCAAACCGACAUUGAUCGUGUGGUUUUCCUUGAAGUAUUAGGUCGGUGGAGCAAGAUCCCCGAACUUCACCCUGAUUGGUCCAGGGGGGAGGGCGGGCGCCCUCAGGACUAGGGCGGGCGCCCUGUCCCUGAGGCCUCUCGGCUUCCGCUUCAGUCCCGUGGCUUCUGGAGUCUUCUAGAUGAUAGAAAAUUGCACGGCACGUUAAUAUCUCUAUGUAAACCCGACGUGUGGGCCUUUCCUCCAUAUUUCCUGAUAACCCCCUGCAGAAAUAGACAAACACCAAAACUCGUGGAAUUCUGUCAGAUAAAACCCUAAGUCUAGGUGUUGGUUGCAUUUGGAUCCUUUUCUAUGAUUAAUUGAUGGUUAAAUGUGAGCAUUAAGGACCGUCAACAAGCUCCCCCAAGCUUAACCUUUGCUCGUCCCUGAGCAAAGAUGAACUCAAGAGUUUCUGCAGUGGUUUAAUAACUUAAAGAUACAUGCGUUUAAACAAGAUCUCAUCUCUGGUUAGAGUAAACAGUUAAGACUUAAAACUUACUCAUUUACCUUUCACCAUGGGACUUGUAACCGUCACUUGUGUCUUGAGCAGUUAAAAGAUAGAACAGUCUAGUCAAGCGUCAUGUCUCUUGUUCUUCGAUUAACUAUAGCUCUGGAGUUUUUGCAGAUUUUCAAAUAAAACUCAGAGAUUCCUUGUAUGACUCUCUCUAGUCUCUCUUUUGUGGUAUUUCUGGAUCCUUACCAAGGCAAUAAUGGUGUAUGCCUUCUCUCAAAGUAUGUAGUAUUUUUGGUAUGGGGCAUAGUGGCAUUGCCUUCUCUCUCACCCUACUCUAAUAAGGUUUUGAUAUCUGGAGCUCAUAGGUGGGAGACAGCUAAUACAUACUUACAAGACAUUUAUUGCAUCGUCAAACCAUGGAUCCAGAAGAACAAGUCAAUAAGUCAAAUCAAGAUGUGCAUGUGUGGCGAAUGAAUGGUGUAUGGUAAUGAUGGUGAUAACAAUGGUGAAAGUCUAAUUCUACUUGUGCUCUUUUGAGGGGAUACAUACCUUUCUUGCACUUUGAAACUUUUUGAGGAGAAUGAGAUGCUCUAUAUUUUCUUUUUUCUUUUCUCUCAGGUGGGUAUCUUGUACCCCUAAUUCUACUGUCGGACACUUGUCCAUUUUUACCUCUCGUCUCACUUUUUUUUCUCCGAGCUUUCGGGCACUUGCCCCUUUUUAUUUCCUCAUAUUUUUCUCUCUUUUUUUUAGAGCACUCAUCUCAUGAGAUAAUGUAGCAAGUGGUAGUAACAAGAUAACUUGAGCAUUUAUUUCACAGGGGAAAACAGAAAUGUUUUUGGCUAUUCUCUCCGGGAUUAGGAGUAGAAUAUUUUUAGGUGAUUCUGGAGAUGGAAAUGGGUGGAUAUAUGUGGAUGGUACUUCCGGAGUAGAAGUAGCAUGUGUGAGUGAACGUGCAAAUGAAUCUUGAUUUAACCACAUGACAAGCUCCUAAGGGUCUACACAGCUUGACCACACUCAAUGCUCAUAAGCAGUAAAAAGUAAAUGUCUGGCUCAAAGUCUAGCAAGCAUGUAUAUAUGGCUGUGGUAGGAAUUUAAACUCUCAUCAUACUGGAACUCAUCAUGCAACAUUUUAAAGUUUUUUUUCAAAGAUAAAAUUCUCCAGAAUUCUAGCAUUUCUAGGAACAGAUAAACAACAGCUCAACCUUCCCAUAUCACAUCCGUUAAUGACUUAGACUUCAGAUCAAGUACUCUUCCCACAAGUUCAGGUUUAGAGCAAAUCUUAAUUAAUACCAGUCAUGCCUAAACUUGAGAGAGAUUUCAAUUUAAGAACUAGUCAUAGCAGAGUAACUAUUCAUCAUUUCCAUGUGAGAGAUUAUCAUGAGGGUUCAUAGCAAACUUUAUUUAUUUAUUUAUUUAGCAAACUAAGCAAAGAUAUAUAUAUAUAUAUAAGCACAAAAUGUUUAUUUGGGUUUAUAUGAUUAUGCAUCUUUUUAUUAUUAGAGUAAAGUAUAAACAUGAGUAGAAUACUUAGCUGGAUAAAUGGGGGUGCUCUCCCCCAAGCUGGAUUUUGACGUAGUUUCUUCUAAUGUAGCUAGCAAGUGGUGGAGGUGUAUUUGAAUGUCAGCAGCACCCUGACAGUGAUUAGGAUGUCCUCCGUCUGCUAGUCUUCUUUGAUCCUUGAAUUCUGUGGAGCUUAAAUAGACAACAAAGCUUUGUGGAACUGGUUAAGUGUUAGCAUAAAUACCUAGCCUUUAUCAUGUUGAGCCUCCUCAAUAAAUGUCUUUAUUUAGAUCAUAAAUUUAUUUUUAUAUUUUCAUUUUUAUAGGACAGGAAUAUAUUUAUUUUAAUUUUACGCCACCACAGUGAAUGUACUUAUGGAUUUUAUGCCAUGAGCAUACUCACAUGGGGCUUACUAUCUUCAACAUUUUUAUUUUCUUUUCAAGAUGAUGUGAACCUGAUUAACUAAGGAAACUAUUUUAAAUAAUUGAAAGAAAAAAGAUAACUACCAAGUUUACCACUUGGCAAGGCGUUCGGUGUUUUUAAGUCCUCCGAACAGGACUCUCCGUUUCCUGAGUCAUUCUAGGAUUCGCUGGAUGGCGUAGUCGGUGGUUCCGAUAGUGCUUCCUCUUCGUGUAUAACUAUCUUCUCUUUCCACACCUGACUCGGUGCUACGGUCUCCUCAGGACAGUUCUGUUCAAGUUGUAUGUCUUCAGACCUUACAACUUCUCCUUCAUAGUCUACCCAUCCGUCCUUGAUGAUUUGCCUCCUCUGGUUGCGGUUGCAUCAUCGUCUUCUUGUCCUAACCUGCUUAGAGUCUUCAACUAUAUAGUUAGGGUCAGUAAAACAGUGGCGUACCUUCUCUGAGGGGAAGUGCAUGUGGACUUCUCUGGUUCCAAUGUAGAUGAUUGCUUUAACGGUGCUGAGGAAUGGUCUUCCAAGGAUGACAGGUGGAUUGUACUCGUCUUCUCCCAUGACAAUAACCUUACGGAAUGUCUAAUCUGCCAUCUGGAGCUGGUGUCGCAAAGCGUCUUCUGGAAGUUGUAUAUGUUGAUUGUGCACUUGAUGCCUAGAACACCAGGGUCGUCCUUCUUGAUCAAGAAAGACGACUUGAGUUGACGAUCUUGACCUUCUUGAGCUGCAGUGACAAUCUUAGCUGACUCAGUCCACAUUUGCUUGUUUCUUUCUGUUCCUCAUGUUUGUCCUCUUCCUUGGUUCAUGUCGGGAUUGCUCUAAGAUUUGUGUAGUCUUGUUCUUGAAGGAAAACGUCUCCGUCCUUCCCUUGAUGUAGAAACUGAUCUUGGCAGCACUAGCGUAGAUGACAGCUCCCGAGGUGUUCAGGAAUGGCCUCCCUAGGAUGGGUGCUCUCUCAUCAGUACCAGUCUCUAUCACCACGAAGUCUGCUGGGGCGUACAAGGUACCAACUCGGACGAAGAGGUUGUUCAAUAUUCUCUUUGGGAAACUUAGCGUACGAUCUGCAAGCUGCAAACACAUGGUUGUUUCUAGGAAAGGAUGUGUAAAGAAUUUUUCAUAGAGUACCCUGGGCAUAAUGUUGACGCUGGAGCCAAUGUCACAGAGUGCUUCUGGGAAGUCCACCAUGCCGAUGGAGAUCGGGAUGACAGGGCGUCCUGGAUCGCCUCUCUUGACCGGCAGAAGGUCAGUAAUUACUUCCACGGGUUACUCCAGUAGCUACGUCCUCAAGCAUCUCAGGGCAGUGAUUGCCUGAGUAUCCAGUCUCUCCAGUGUGUUUGUGCUCGUAGAUCUAGGUUCUUCACUUGGUGGAGUCUGGGAGUUGUAAAAGUCCUUCAUAUUUUGCUCGAAGUGUACCUGCUCAUAGAGACAAGGCAGAGAUCAAGUGCAUGGGCCCUGUUGGUGGAAAACACCAACAGAACCAAAAGUGUAUUUGUUCUUCUCUAACCUUAAGCAUAGUGAGCAAGACAAAGUUGAUGGAUAAUAAGAUCAUGAGUAUAACAUUUAAAACACUUGUCAGAUCAAAUCGCUCAACCUAAUGGAAAGAUAAUCUAUCUAUAUUUAUGUUGUUUUUUUAUAAAAUAUAUCUUCCAAAGAUUGAGUGUGCAACAUUUAGUGUGGGAUCACAAAGGUGAAAGGACUAAACAUAUUGAAUCGAUUGGGUUGGUUAAUCUAGAAUUGUAAAUCAUACAUGUUUGUCUCUUUUAUUCAUGUGAAUGCCAGAACCAAGGAGAAGCUUAUAGAAGUGAUAGUCAAGUACCUUAAGAUGUUACCUUACUUGAAGAGUGAUGGUACAGUAUCACCUUGUGGAAGCUUUCCUCUCUUAGCGGUUGUCACCCUCCAUGGAUCAUCUCUUGUGAGCUAUGCCUUCCUUGUGUAAAUUGUUAAACUUCAUGUGUCUCUCUCUUUAUCUCUAAUGUGAGUUUAUCUCAGGACUUCCCAGGUCGAUAUUAAAAGUUUUCCUGCAGGGGUUAGUCCAACAAAAUAUCCAAUAUCUACUAUAGCAUACUAUCGGCUCAAAGAUCAACCUAGACACCAUGUCUAAUUUGAUUAGGAGGGCAUUUUAACCUAAGCAUCAUGCUUAAUUUAAACUCCCUUGGAAGUAAGAUCAUCAGCCCUAAACUAAGCACCAUGCUUAAUUAAGAGAUAAAUGAAACUACUCCAAACCUAGACAUAUACUAAAGCAAAUAAAGGUAGCAUGAGAGCAUUUAUAGAGAUCUACUCAAGUGGAGAUGAAGUAGUGUGAUUAGUCUUUAACAAAUUGAGCAUGUCUCAAAGGUAGGGACAACCAACAUAGCAACAUGGCAAAGGAUGUUUUUAUGUAAAGUACUCCCCCAAGCUUGAAUUUUGCAAAAUUCAAGUUUGGAUGAGUUUAAUUCAAUGUUGUAUGAUGAUUGGUUGGACAUACCUUGUGCUUGUCAUUCAUCUGAUCUUCUUGCUCCAAUCCUGGAAAGGUUAGUGACAAAAAUACCUGAAGGAAAAUUUUUUUUUUACAAUUAUCCUUAUAUGCUCAAUACAUAAGGUAAUGUUGCAAAUAAUUAAAAGCUCAUGUUAUGAUCUGAUCAGUGCAUAUUUUAGGACACUAAGCUUGUCCUUGGGAAACCCUCAAUUCAUGUCGGCGAAGUGGUUUCCCCUCCAACGCUGACCUAUAUCAAGAUCAACUCAACGAGAUCUGCAAAAUUUAUUAUAGACAUAUGCAUCGACAACUGCCCUUUUAAAGUUUUUAUAAAUAGAAAGGAAGUGGGGGUUGGAGAUCUCGAAUGUGGUGAUGUUGGAGAGACCAAUGGAUUGUGAAGAUGUUGCAUAUGAGCAUGGAGUAAAUGAAGUGGCUAUGAAAUAAAUUCCAUGCUCAUUAAUGCUUAGCGUGAAAUCCAUGUGGUAUGGUGAAAAUGAUAAGGUGAGUGUGGUAAAAAAAGGGAAAGAAAAAGGAUACACGGACGACUUGGUUCGAAACUAGCACAGCUACCGUUCCCCGGCAAUGGCGCCAGAAAGCUUGUUGGGUAUUUUAAACGCAAACAGAAAAAUCCGCAAACGCACGGAUACCGAUGUAGCCUUCACCCGGGAGUAUUCCAGAGUAUCGAUUUUCCACAGGGAACGUGAGUGUACUAAUUAAGAAUCAAGAUCGCCCAAGGAUAACUAUAUAAGUAUUUUUGGUGGGAAGAGAGGAAGUUUCCUGAGAGUUCUCUAGUUGAUCUAAGAAUCAAGAAUUACUUCAAGAUUAUCUAUAUCGGGACAUCAGAGCACUAACCACAGAAAGAGAUGAGAAGGGGGCUAGGAAGGUCUGACUACGGUCCUACAAACACUGAUCCGAACGUGGUGGAAUACGUCGACCGUUAGGGCUGUCACUACCCUAAGGCUACCACAACAAUCCGUAGGAUUGGGUGCAAUUCCAGGUAAUUGCAAGACUAAACACCACGUCUAAUCUAUUAAUUACUACUCUAGCGUUAUAAAGACUAGAGCACUUGAUGCAAGCGGGAAUCCAAUAAAUAACUUGAAUGUAAAUAAAAGUAAUUAGAGAACUCAGGAUUAUGAAUUGAAGAACCUGGAGAACGAUGAAGAACGAACCAGAUGCUGCAAAAGUAUAAUGUUGAGGAAGAUCCGACAGAUUCGGCUCCUCCUCCGCUCUCCUCUUCUCUCUUCCUAUUUUCUAGAUUACAACAAGAACUAACUAAAACUAGAACUAGAGGAACUAGAACUAGAACUAGAUGAACUAGAACUAGAUCUAGAUGAACUAGAGGUAGAACUAGAAGAACUAGAGGGAUCCUCUCUACUUGGAUAAAGAAUUGAAACCCUAGCUUUGAUUCUGUAGAAGAGGUAUGAUCUCCAGGGGCCAGGGGGGGUCUGGUUUUAUAGUCCCUUCAAGUGAAUCUGGGCCGUCGGAUCAAACCGACAUUGAUCGUGUGGUUUUCCUUGAAGUAUUAGGUCGGUGGAGCAUGAUCCCCGAACUUCACCCUGAUUGGUCCAAGGGGGAGGGCGGGCGCCCUCAGGACUAGGGCGGGCGCCCUGUCCCUGAGGCCUCUCGGCUUCCGCUUUGGUCCCGUGGCUUCUGGAGUCUUCUAGAUGAUAGAAAAUUGCACGGCACGUUAAUAUCUCUAUGUAAACCCGACGUGUGGGCCUUUCCUCCAUAUUUCCUGAUAACCCCCUGCAGAAAUAGACAAACACCAAAACUCGUGGAAUUCUGUCAGAUAAAACCCUAAGUCUAGGUGUUGGUUGCAUUUGGAUCCUUUUCUAUGAUUAAUUGAUGGUUAAAUGUGAGCAUUAAGGACCGUCAACACCAUGGUGAAAGGUAAAUGAGUAAGUUUUAAGUCUUAAAAGUUUACCUUAACCCAGAGAUGAGAUCUUGUUUGAAUGCAUGUAUAUCUUUAAGGCAUGAAACCACUGCAGAAACUUUUGAGUUUAUCUUUGCUCAGGGAUGAGCAAAGGUUAAGCUUGGGGGAGCUUGUUGACGGUCCUUAAUGCUCACAUUUAACCUUCAACUAAUCAUGGAAAAGGAUCUAAAUGCAACCAACACUAGACUUAGGGUUUUAUCUGACAGAAUUCCACGAGUUUUGGUGUUUGUCUAUUUCUGCAGGGGGUUAUCAGGAAAUACGGAAGAAAGGCCCACACGUCGGGAUUACAUAGAGAUAUUAAUGUGCCGCGCAAUUUUCUACCAUCUAGAAGACUCCAGAAGCCACAGAAAUGAACGGGAAGGCAAUCGGGCUCGGAGGCAGGGCGCCCGCCCUACUCUCCUGGGCGCCCGCCUAGCUACAGUGCCCAAUCAGGACACGUUUCGCGGAUUAUGCUCCACCGACCUAAAGGAUCAAGGAAAACCGUGCGAUCAAUGUCGGUUUGAUCCGACGGCCUAGAUUCACUUGAAGGGACUAUAUAAGCAAGGCCCCCUGGCCCCUGGAGAUCAUACCUCUUCUACAGAAUCAAAGUUAGGGUUUCAAUUCUUCAUCCAAGUAGAGAGGAUCCCUCUAGUUCUUCUAGUUCUACCUCUAGUUCAUCUAGAUCUAGUUCUAGUUCAUCUAGUUCUAGUUCUAGUUCCUCUAGUUCUAGUUCUAGUUAGUUCUAGUUGUAAUCUAGAAAAUAGGGAGAGAGAAGAGGAGAGCGGAGGAGGAGCCGGAUCUGUCGGAUCUUCCUCAACAUUAUACUUUUGCAGCAUCUGGUUCGUUCUUCAUCGUUCUCCAGGUUCUUCACUUCAUAAUUCCUAAGUUCUCUAUUUACUUUUAUUUACAUUCAAGUUAUUUAUUAGAUUCCCGCUUGCAUCAAGUGCUCUAAUCUUUGAAACAUUAGAGUAGUAAUUAAUAGAUUAGACGUGGUGUUUAGUCUUGUAAUUACCUGGAAUUGCACCCAAUCCUACGGAUUGUUGUGGUAGCCUUAGGGUAGUGACAGCCCUAACGGUCGACGUAUCCCACCACGUUCGGAUCGGUGUUUGUAGGACCGUAGUCAGACCUUCCUAGCACCCUUCUCAUCUCUUUCUGUGGUUAGUGCUCUGAUGUCCCGAUAUAGAUAAUCUUGAAGUAAUUCUUGAUUCUUAGAUCAACUAGAGAACUCUCAGGAAACUUCCUCUCUUCCCACCAAAAAAUAAUUAUAUAGUUAUCCUUGGGCGAUCUUGGAUCUUAAUUAGUACACUCACGUUCUCUGUGGAAAAUCGAUACUCUGGAAUACUCCCGGGUGAAAGCUACAUCGGUAUCCGUGCGCUUGCGGAUUUUUCUGUUUGCGUUUAAAAUACCCAACACCCACCUGUUGCAGAUGAUAUCUUUUAUGAUGGCUUUUGCAAGACCUGUCUGCAUCCCGCAGGGGAUGAGGACUAAACCGUUGGGCAUGGUACUCUGACUACUUCGUACCUGUUGCUUUUGGAUGGAUGGCAUAGACUCUGGCAAUAACAAAGACUUUGGAAUGUGUGUUGUAAACUAUUUUGCUUCCGCUACUGCAAACUUGUGUUGUAAUAACUAAGUAACUCCGAUGUGGUGCCGCUUCGACGGCAGUGAAUGACUAUGUAACAUUCGUUGUGUUAUGUUGAACUAUUACGGUCUUGGUUUGUUGCAAGUUGGUUUGAAGUCCUUCGUGAUUUCAAUUGACUACCGGGAUUAUAUGGGCUCAUGUUUGGAAACUUGAUUGCUAGUCGAUCAUUUCUACACUUGAACUCUUAUAAUUUGGUCGGUUCUGUGACAGGUGUGGCCGCAACCAGGUGCGAUCGCAACCUGGUGGGCCCCACUCUGCCUCCCCUUUUGGCAGCGCCCUCCAACGGCUACUCCAAGGGAGUAGUCGGUUGCUGAUGGGUCUGGUUCGAAAACUUGCUCCAGAUCUUGAUUUUCCACAAAUUUAUUCCAAACUUUUUAUUUUUCAAAAAUAAAAUAAAAAUAAGAUUUGAAAAUCUAAAAGCCUCUAAAAACAAGAAAUGAUUUAUAAGAUUUUUGGAGAAAUAUUAUUUUAGACUAAAACAAGGAAUUUUAUAAAAUGAGAGAGAGGUAGAAAAUAAAAUAUAUUUAUAUACUUUUAUAAAAAUAAAAACUCUUCUUCUCUUUUUUUUCAAGGAGGAUUAGAAUAUAAUACCUGAGUGGGGGCACCUCCCCCAAGCUUGGAUGAUAGUGCGGGCCUAUCACAUACAAAUUCUUUCCUUAUAUAUAUAUAUGUAUUUUUUUUGAUAAAUACCGAAGACCUUUCGGCAAGGGCACAACGUUUAUAGUCCGUUGGCGAGACUCUUCUUCCUUCAUUGCCCUGUAGCUGCAUGAACAAACUCAGAGGAAGGUUCGGGUUGCCCCGAAAACUUCCCCGUGUCGUUGACAGGGAUAGAAGCAGCUAUCUGAGCCACCUAUGUUUCUAUCAUUUUAUUAAAGCUAGCUUGAUUUUUAACAGACGAAGAAAGAGCUUCAAGCUUAGAAUUUAUAUUUUCAAAAACUUUGUCGUUAAAGGACAGCUUCUUGGUAAGAUUUUCAUUGAUCUUAGCUUGUCCCAGAACGAGAUCUUUCAAGGAAGGUUGAUUUGAAAAAGAGUUUGAGAAGUUAUUACCUUGUGGGCGGUGUUAAUUGUACCACCCACUGUUACCUUGCUGAGGUGGCCUAUACCCGUUGUUGACGAAUGAAGCUUCUUCUUGGGUCUUAGGGCAAUUGUUCCCAGAGUGGCCAUUGUCACCACAGACUUCACACGAUGUGUGUGAGUAUAUGGCUUGGACGGUGUUGGUAUUGAUUAUAGUGUCGUCCAUCUUCUAUAACAACAAGUCGAUUUUUUGCGGCCAACAGCUCUAUCUCCUUAGCGGACUGUUAGCCUUUUGUGGUUUCCUUCCUUCUCCCCAACUUUGGUUCGCCACCAUCUUCUCGAUGAGGGCGGUAGCUUGGGCAAUGGUGAGAGAAAGGAAGGCACCUCCAGCUGCGGCAUCAACUUGCCCCUUUGACAUGGCCGCAAGGCCUUCGUAGAAGUUCUGGAGCACUAGUCAGUCUUCCAUUCCAUGAUGAGGACAGGCCCGGAUGUACUCCUAGAGCCUUUCCCAUGCUUCGGGGAUGGACUCUAGUGAAGACUGCUGGAAGUUGGAGAUCUUCCCCCUUAGAGCACUGGUUUUGCUCACGGGGAAGAACUUAGCGAGGAAUGCCGCGGAACACUUGUUCCAAGUGUCUACAGCUUCCUUGUUCUGGUAGAACCACUGUUUUGCCUUUCCCGUGAGGGAGAAAGGAAAUAGACGGAGCCUGAUGCUGUCUUCUGCGACGUCUUUGAUGACGAUAGUGUCACACAACUCAAGGAAGUGCUGAAGGUGAGCGUUGGCAUCUUCGCUUGGCAAGCCACAGAACUGACUUGCCUGCACCAUCGAGAUGAGGCCAGUACGGAUCUCGAAGUUGCCAUUCCCAACAUUGACAGCGGGCCCAACGGGCACGUUGGCAACAGCGGGAGUGGAGUAGUCACGGAGAGUCCUGGCCAUCUGUUGACGGUCCUUAACGCUCACAUUUAACCAUCAAUUAAUCAUGGAAAAGGAUCCAAAUGCAACCAACACCCAGACUUAGGGUUUUAUCUGACAGAAUUCCACGAGUUUUGGUGUUUGUCUAUUUCUGCAGGGGGUUAUCAGGAAAUAUGGAAGAAAGGCCCACACGUCGGGGUUACAUAGAGAUAUUAACGUGCCGUGCAAUUUUCUAUCAUCUAGAAGACUCCAGAAGCCACGGGACCGAAGCGGAAGCCGAGAGGCCUCAGGGACAGGGCGCCCGCCCUAGUCCUGAGGGCGCCCGCCCACCUCUUUCCACCAAUCAGGGUGAAGUUCGGGGAUCAUGCUCCACCGACCUAAUACUUCAAGGAAAACCACACGAUCAAUGUCGGUUUGAUCCGACGGCCCAGAUUCACUUGAAGGGACUAUAAAACCAGACCCCCUGGCCCCUGGAGAGCAUACCUCUUCUACAGAAUCAAAGUUAGGGUUUCAAUUCUUCAUCCAAGUAGAGAGGAUCCCUCUAGUUCUUCUAGUUCUACCUCUAGUUCAUCUAGAUCUAGUUCUAGUUCAUCUAGUUCUAGUUCUAGUUCCUCUAGUUCUAGUUCUAGUUAGUUCUAGUUGUAAUCUAGAAAAUAGGGAGAGAGAAGAGGAGAGCGGAGGAGGAGCCGGAUCUGUCGGAUCUUCCUCAACAUUAUACUUUUGCAGCAUCUGGUUCGUUCUUCAUCGUUCUCCAGGUUCUUCAAUUCAUAAUCCUGAGUUCUUUAAUUACUUUUAUUUACAUUCAAGUUAUUUAUUGGAUUCCCGCUUGCAUCAAGUGCUCUAGUCUUUAUAACGCUAGAGUAGUAAUUAAUAGAUUAGACGUGGUGUUUAGUCUUGCGAUUACCUGGAAUUGCACCCAAUCCUGCGGAUUGUUAUGGUAGCCUUAGGGUAGUGACAGCCCUAACGGUCGACGUAUUCCACCAUGUUCGGAUCGGUGUUUGUAGGACCGUAGUCAGACCUUCCUAGCCCCCUUCUCAUCUCUUUCUGUGGUUAGUGCUCUGAUGUCCCGAUAUAGAUAAUCUUGAAGUAAUUCUUGAUUCUUAGAUCAACUAGAGAACUCUCAGGAAACUUCCUCUCUUCCCACCAAAAAUACUUAUAUAGUUAUCCUUGGGCGAUCUUGAUUCUUAAUUAGUACACUCACGUUCCCUGUGGAAAAUCGAUACUCUGGAAUACUCCCGGGUGAAGGCUACAUCGGUAUCCGUGCGCUUGCGGAUUUUUCUGUUUGCGUUUAAAAUACCCAACAAGCUUUCUGGCGCCGUUGCCGGGGAACGGUAGCUGUGCUAGUUUCGAACCAAGUCGUCCGUGUAUCCUUUUUCUUUUCCUUUUUUUUACCACACUCACCUUACCAUUUUCACCAUACCACAUGGAUUUCACUCUAAGCAUUAAUGAGCAUGGAAUUUAUCUCAUAGCAACUUCAUUUACUCCAUGCUCAUAUGCAACAUCUUCACAAUCCAUUGGUCUCUCCAACAUCACCACAUUCGAGAUCUCCAACCCCCUCAUCCUUUCUAUUUAUAAAAACUUUAAAAGGGCGGUUGUCGAUGCAUAUGUCUAUAAGAAAUAUUGCAGAUCUCGUUGAGUCGAUCUUGAUAUAGGUCAACGUUGGAGGGGAAACCACUUCACUGACAUAAAUUGAGGGUUUCCCAAGGACAAGCUUAGUGUCCUAAAACAAGCACUUUUUAGAUCAUAACAUGAGCUUUUAAUUAUUUGCAACAUUACCUUGUGUAUUGAGCAUAUAAGGAUAAUUGUAAAAAAAUUCCUUCGGGUAUUCUUGUCACUAACCUUUCUAGGAUUGGAGCAAGAAGAUCGGAUGAAUGACAAGCACAAGGUAUGUACAACCAAUCAUCAUACAACAUUGAAUUAAAUUCAUCCAAAUUUGAAUUUUGCAAAAUUCAAGCUUGGGGGAGUACUUUAUAUAAAAACAUCAUUUGCCAUGUUGCUAUGUUGGUUGUCCCUACCUUUGAGACAUGCUCAAUUUGUUAAAUAGUAAUCACACUACUUCAUCUCCACUUGAGUAGAUCUCUAUAAAAGCCAUCACGCUACCUUUGUUUAUCGUAGUAAGUGUUAGUUUGGAAGUACUGUACAUACUUCUAUUGGUUUUUAAAUUAAGCAUGGUGCUUAGGUUAAACAGCCUUCCUUAAUCUAAUUAGACAUGGAGUCUAGUUUGGUUAUUGAACUAAAAACUGCUUGUGUAGACAUUGGUAUAUUUUGUUGGACUAACCCCUGCAGGAAAACUUUUAAUAUCGACCUGGGAAGUCCUGAGAUAAACUCACAUUGGAGACAAAGAGAGACACACAUGAAGGUUAACAAUUUACACAAGGAAGGCAUAGCUCACAAGAGAUGAUCCAUGGAGGGUGCCACAAACACGAUGCACAACCGCUAAGAAAUGAAAGCUUCCACAAGGAGAUAUUGUACCAUCACUCUUCAAGUAAGGUAACAUCUUAAGGUACUUGACUAUCACUUUUAUAAGCUUCUCCUUGGUUCUGGCGUUCACAUGAAUAAAAGAGACAAACAUGUAUGAUUUACAACUCUAGAUUAACCAACCCAAUCGAUUCAACAUGUUUAGUCUUUCCACCUUUGUGAUCCCACAAUCCUAAUCAUAUGAGCUAAAAUGUUGCACACUCAAUCUUUGGAAAAUGAUAGUCAUGUAAAGAAAAAAAACAUUUACUUAGAUAGAUUAUCUUUCCAUAAGGUUGAGUGAUCUGAUCUGACAAAUGUUUUAAAUGCUACACUCAUGAUCUUAUUAUCCAUCAACUUUGUCUUGCUCACUAUGCUUAAGGUUAGAGAAGAACAAAUACACUUUUGGUUCUGUUGGUGUUUUCCACCAACAGGGCCCAUGCACUUGAUCUCUGCCUUGUCUCUAUGAGCAGGUACACUUCGAGCAAAAUAUGAAGGACUUUUACAACUCCCAGACUCCACUAAGUGAAGAACCUAGAUCUACGAGCACAAACACACUGGAGAUACUGGACACUCAGGCAAUCACUGCCCUGAGAUGCUUGAGGACGUAACUACUUGUUGACACCGUUUUUGGGCACGUGUCUAGGAUGGCAGGAUAAGGUGGCAGUACGAUGUUUACAAAGCGGGUUGCCGAUGAGGAUGGUUGCCGAUGAGGGAGAAGUUGAAUGUGACAGGCAGUAAUAUGGUGUCGAUGGCUAGAUAAGAAAGUCUGCCGAUGACUAUGGCAAAGGAUCUGCCGAUGAUGCAAAGGAGGAGUCUGGAAGCUGCCGGUCGUUAUGUGGAGGAGUUUCGGUUUGUUACGAGGGAUAGUUUUGUUAUUUCCUUAAUUAUUUGCAUCGUUUUGUAUACGGAUUCCGUGUAAUUUGGAAUUCGAAUUCUAAUCGUGUCUGGUUGUAGCUCUUUGAGCAGGGUAUAAAUAUAGACCCUAGGGCCUUGUAAGAAGAAUCAAUCAGUCAAUCAAACAUACGUUUUUACUCAUAUUCCAGCAUCUACUUUUCGAUGACUUCGUCAUACUUUUUUCCUUUUAUUACGAGUUCUUAGGAAUUCGUCGACUUAAGCUCGGCGUGUUCUUGAGUUCCGCGUGAGUACCUCUUAGCCGUGACAUCCGGGCGCAUCGCUGUUGUCAGGACUAAAGUAUUCGAGUUAUCACCUUUGCCGAUAGUAAGGUCAAAUCGGCUGGCACGCCUUAACGUUUGAAUCGGGUAUUAGCCCUUUGUGUUUGCAGAUCAGUUUUGCAUCAACACAUCUUUUGGCACGCCCAGUGGGACAGGAUUCAAGAUCAAGAUCAACAUGUCGAUCUCUGACCUCGAUCAAGAGAACGUCAUCCCCGUGACGGAGGCCAACCUCAAGGAUGAGCAGAAGCAAGCUAUUGCCCAAGCCAUGGAAGAGUUCAAGCAGCAAUGCUUGAGGUCUUUCAGCAUAAACAGGAGCGGCGAAGUGGUCCAGAAAGAUGCACUGCCGGCACCACGGCAGGUUACCUUUGACGCCAAUCCUGGCAAGCUUCAAGAUAUGGUUGACAAUGCCAUCAAUCGAGCGUUGAUUAACCAAGCUGGUGUACUGUCUAAUACGGUUUUCAAUGCCGUGGCAAGAACUUUCAAGGAAGGACAAAUCCCACCAGAUUAUGUGGGCCCCUCCCAUCAUCAGCCAACGGCAGCAGAGGUCACGGCUCCAUCGGCUGCCUUGACGAAUGCAAGUGCACAAUCUGCCGUCCCUCCAAGUACAUCGGGGACUACUGGUGCACUAUCUAUGCCGAUGGCAACCAACCCACAAAUUUCAGUUGGGCAGUAUAAACUGACAACAGAUAUGUUGGCGUCGGCAAUGUCAGGGUUGACUCUUCCUCCCAACUGGUGGGGUUACGGUAUGCCUCCAGAGUUGACGCCGGGAACAUCACAAAUAACCGACAUGAGGGGCAAAACUCCUAUGACAUCGGCACCUCCCAAUGCGCCGGUGAACCAGAGUCCUCGGUAUACCACAACUACUACUGCAAGGCCUCACACUGGAAAUCCUCAAGAUUCAAUGUUCCAGAUGCCCAACGCAUCGGCAGAGUCAAUGCUGAUGCAACAGAGGCCUAUGGCCCAGUCGGGGUAUGUCAAUUCAACGACGGUACCCAAUUACCAAUCAUCGGCAGCACCUAUGCCGAUGAACGCUAAUAAUGGAUGGCUUGGACAGCAAGCCUUUCCACAAUCGCCCCAGCAGAGUUAUCAGACUACAGGGUUCCAGCAAGGGCAGGUCUAUCCCGGGUUCCAAGGUCAGGGGAUUCCCAACCAGCCAAUGAAUUUUGGACAGCAACUCGGAGGACAGCCAGUCGGUGGACAGCAGUUUGGUGGUCCGCAGAUUGGAGGACAGGUGAUCAAUACGAUGUUCCGUGCAGAUCACGUCCCGAACAGACACGUGGAGGUUCGCCACCAAGUGCCGGAUCCGCAGCCGCCUCAUCGGCAAGAUGCCGAUGCAUAUUGGGCCGACAAGAUUGCUGAAGUAAUGAGGGAACAAUUUGGGAUAAAACCCAAAGUCAACACUUAUUCUUAUCGGACACCGUAUCCUCCCGCGUAUGAUUUGAUCCCGCUUCCACAUCGGUACAAGGUACCGGAUUUUACAAAGUUUUCCGGACAGGACGACACGUCAACCAUGGAGCAUGUCAACAGGUUCAUUAUUCAAUGUGGAGAGGCUGGUAACAGGGACGAAUUGAGGGUUCGUCUAUUUUCAUCAUCAUUGUCUGGAUCGGCCUUUACUUGGUUCAUAUCAUUACCUCCCAACUCAGUAAUUACUUGGGCCGAUCUAGAGAAGCAAUUCCACAAAUACUUCUUCUCGGGGGUUCAUGAGAAGAAGAUCACCGACUUGGUCAAGUUGAGGCAACGUAAUGAUGAGUCGGUUGAGGGAUUUGUGCAGAGGAUACGAGAGGUCAAGAAUAAAUGCUAUAGCCUGGUUCUGGAUGAUCGGCAGCUAGCCGAUUUGGCUUUCCAGGGUUUGUUGCCACAUAUCAGGGAUAAGUAUGCCUCUCAGGAGUUUGAAAGUUUAAGUCAUUUGGUGCAGAGGAUUUCUGAUCAAGACAUCAAGCCUUUCGAGCCUAAGAGGGCAUGGAAUAAGAAAGUGUCAUUUGUUGAUGAAGCAACAAGCUCAGAUUCUGAUGAAGAACCAGUAAUCGGUUUGGCAGAGUGGGUAAAAAACAAGAAGCCGAUGUCUUGUCCUUUUGGGCAGAAGGAACCGGAGAAGUUUGCUUUUGACACCGCUAAGGCUGAUAGGAUAUUUGACUUUCUACUUCAGGAAGGUCAGAUCAAACUGUCACCUAACCAUGUGAUCCCAUCGGCAGAAGAGUUGAAGAGGAUGAGAUAUUGCAAGUGGCAUAAUGCAACUUCCCAUGACACCAACGAGUGCAAAGUAUUCAGACAGCAGCUGCAAUCGGCUAUAGAGUCAGGGAGAAUCAAGUUUGACAGUUCCAAAGCCCAGAAGCCGAUGAAGAUAGACCAACAUCCUUUCCCGACAAACAUGUUGGAUGCUAAGGGGAAGGCUAAGGUCUUAACAUCGGAGGCAGCUGAGAGGAGUGCAUCGGUAGAUCCUCAGCAUCAAGUUACUACUGCCGAUGCAAGAAGUAAGGGCUUGGUCCAGGAAGGAACUAGCUCAGGAAGGCUUCCUCGAUCCGGUAUCGUCAUAACUCAUAGAAGGCCUCGAGAAAAAUGGCAACAACGGGAAGAUCGGUAUCGGCGCCAGCAGGAAGAUUAUCUACGGGAAGAAGAAAGACGCCGACAGGAGUGGAAUCGGCACAGGGAUCAUUGGAAUUGUCCAUUCUUCAUCCAUUGUUGGGAGGAAAAUAUCAAGCUUCCUACUGUCAGAAACUGCCCUGAGUGCAACAGUUAUGAUCGGUACGAUAGGAUCGAUCGGCAUUAUCAUAAUGAUGAACGGCGAUUUAAUGGGCCGAUCAGAGGAAGGGUGUUAGUUCAUGACCGGCUGGGGGGCAGAUUUAGUGGGCACAACAGACUUAGUGACCGUGUCCAGUAUUUUCCCAGGAACCAAGAAGAGCUCGGGGAAAUGGCUGGUGCGCGGGUUCCCGAUGAAUUCAUAUUUUGCAGGGAUGCUAACACACAUCGUAUGGAGUCAAGGGAGAACCGACGCCCGACGGCAAGGCAAAGGCCACUUCCUCCUUGGUGCCCUGGAGGAUUAACCAAGACACAGAAAAGGAGAUUGCAACAUGAGAGGCAAGAAGAGCUAAACAAGGGAGAGAACUCUGGAAGUCGGCAGCCGUCAGACACUAAGAGGGAAAGUCCAUCGGCAGACGUCAACAUGGUCUUCAUGUUGCCGAUGGAGUUUCUUGCACCAGCCAGCGAUGAUGAGGUGGAAUUUUCUGAUCAGAUAGCUCAGUUGGCUCUGGAUCCGAUGACGGCUAUCUUUGAGAAACCUGCCGAUGACGAGAGGCAGCAUCUUAAAGCCCUGUUCCUCAAAGGAAGGGUUGAUGGGCAGCCAAUGACCAAGAUCCUAGUUGAUGGUGGAGCUGCUAUUAAUAUUAUGCCGUAUGCAGUAUAUCGGAAGCUUGGGAAAGGGGAUCAAGAUUUGACCAAGACCGAUAUGAUGCUCAAAGACUUUGAAGGAAACGUGUCUCCAGUCAAGGGGGCGAUAUGUGCAGAGUUGACCAUCGGCAGCAAAACCUUGCCGACAACUUUUUUCGUGAUCAGCGGAAAAGGUGCUUACAACUUAUUAUUGGGAAGAGAUUGGAUUCAUGCCAAUUGUUGUAUCCCAUCUACAAUGCAUCAGUGCUUGGUUCAGUGGGUAGGUGACAAGAUUGAGAUUGUCCCAGGAGAUUCUUCUUAUGUUAUCGCAUCGGCAGAAGCGGAUACUUACGAAAGGACCAGGUGCAUUUCAGGAGAAGUUUGGGAGAAAGAUUUUCUCAAAGUUGCCGAUUAUGAGAUUCCACCGAUCCAAGCAGUCGGUUCUGACGACGGUUUUUAAUGGAUAGAUUCGCCGAUGAUGGAAAAUUAGGCCAGGGGUUCACAUCGGCCGAUGAUUUGGUAGAAGUAGAUAUAGGUAGUGGUGAUAAGCCUAGGCCUACUUUUAUUAGUGCUAAAUUAGAUCCUGAGAGUAAGCGACAAUUGACUAGUUUGUUAAAGGAAUAUAAAGAUUGCUUUGCUUGGGAUUAUACAGAGAUGCCUGGUUUAGACCGAUCAAUUGUUGAACAUCGGUUACCCAUCAAGUCUGGAUUUCGGCCACAUCAGCAACCAGCCCGCCGAUGUAAUCCUAACAUUCUACCUGAUAUUAAGGCCGAAAUCACUAAACUUAUUGAAGCUAAGUUUAUUCGGCAGUGUCGGUAUGCCGAAUGGAUUUCCAAUGUUGUUCCGGUUUACAAGAAGAACGGGAAGCUUCGGGUGUGCAUUGAUUUCAGGAAUCUCAAUAAGGCUACGCCGAUGGAUGGAUACCCAAUGCCUGUCGCCGAUCUACUAGUUGAUGCUGCGGCUGGUCAUCGGGUCAUCAGCUUCAUGGAUGGUAAUGCAGGUUAUAAUCAAAUAUUCAUGGCGGAGGAGGAUAUUCCAAAAACCGCAUUCAGAUGUCCUGGUCAUGUUGGGCUAUUUGAAUGGAUAGUCAUGACUUUUGGGUUGAAGAAUGCUGGUGCUACUUAUCAAAGGGCUAUGAAUUUUAUAUUUCAUGAGUUCAUCGGCAAGCUCGUAGAGAUUUAUAUUGAUGAUGUGGUGGUUAAGUCUGGAGAUUUCUCAAAGCAUCUUGCCGAUUUACAAAAAGUGUUAGAGUGCACAAGGAAGCAUGGAUUGAAGAUGAAUCCCAACAAGUGUGCAUUUGGUGUAUCGGCAGGGCAGUUUCUUGGUUUCAUGGUACAUCAGAGGGGUAUUGAAAUUAGUCGAAGAUCUAUUGAUGCCAUCAAUAAAAUAGUGGCCCCUACCAACAAAAUCGAGCUCCAAUCCUUGAUCGGCAAGGUAAAUUUUAUCAGGAGAUUUAUAUCGAAUUUGUCUGGUAGGAUUCGUGCUUUCAGUCCUCUUCUUAAAUUGAAAGCCGAUCAAGAGUUUAUUUGGGGAGAAGAACAGCAGUUGGCUCUGGAUGAAAUCAAGAAGUAUCUAGUAAAUCCUCCAGUUCUAGUUCCACCUCAACAAGGGAAGCCCUUCAGAUUGUAUUUAUCUACCGAUGGAUCGGUUAUCGGUUCAGCCUUAGUUCAAGAAUUUGAAGGGAAAGAAAGGGUAAUUUAUUAUUUGAGUAGGAGGUUGAUUGAUGCUGAAACCAGGUAUUCGGCCAUUGAGAAAUUAUGCUUAUGCUUAUAUUUUUCAUGUGUCAAGCUGAGACAUUACCUGUUAUCGGCCGAAUGCACUGUUGUUUGCAAAGAUGACGUGGUCCGAUACAUGCUAUCUAUGCCGAUUAUGAGUGGUAGGAUCGGUAAAUGGAUUUUAGCGCUGUCGGAGUUCGAUUUGCGUUACGAAUUGGCUAAGGCAGUCAAAGGGCAGAUUAUGGCCGAUUUUGUGACUCAGCAUUGCGGUCUAGUGGAAACCUUGGAAAUUGUACCCUGGACGCUCUUCUUUGAUGGAUCUACCUGUGACCGGGGGGCAGGAAUCGGCAUUGUAUUAGUUUCCCCUAAGGGGAGGAAGUAUGAGUUCUCCUUGCCGAUUGUUGCCACAUCAACAAAUAAUCAGGCUGAGUAUCAAGCUCUGAUCAAGGGAUUGGAGCUGUUAAGAGAAGUUCGUGCUGAUGCUGUUGAAAUAUUCGGGGAUUCUAUGUUGGUUAUAAAUCAAUUGGCCGGAAGCUAUGAAUGCCGAAGUGAAGUUCUCAUAACUUAUUUCGAGAGAAGUAUGCAACUGUUAAAGGAAUUCAAGGAUUUCCGAUUGGAGCAUGUCCCCCGAUUGCAUAAUGAAGACGCUAAUCGGUUAGCUCAGCAUGCCUCGGGAUAUCAGCCAAUGAUUAAUGCGACAUCGGCAGUCGGUGCUGGUGAUUGGAGGAAAGAAAUUAUUGAUUAUCUAAAAGAUCCAUCCAAAAAAGUUGAAAGACGGGUUCGAUUUCAAGCAACCAAGUAUGUGCUCCUUGAAAAUGAAUUGUAUUAUCGAACUAUCGAUGGAAUUCUUCUCCGAUGCUUGGGUGAUGAUGAAGCUAGAAGUUUGAUGGGGGAAAUCCAUGAAGGAGUGUGUGGAGCGCAUCAGUCAGCUUUUAAGAUGAAGUGGAUGAUUCGAAGGAAUGGAUAUUUUUGGCCAACCAUACUUGAAGAUUGUUUUAAAUAUUUCAAGGGAUGUCAAGGUUGUCAGAAGUUUGGUAAUAUCCAGAGAGCACCCGCAUCGGCUAUGAACCCUAUAAUAAAGCCUUGGCCGUUCCGGGGAUGGGCCAUCGAUCUGAUCGGCCAGAUUUAUCCACCAUCUAGCAAAGGGCAUAAGUUCAUUCUAGUUGCCACUGACUAUUUCACUAAGUGGGUUGAAGCUAUUCCUUUGAAGAAAGUCACAUCGGCCAAUAUGAUUGAUUUUGUGAAGGAGCAUAUUAUUUACCGAUUUGGGAUUCCCCAAACGAUUACUACCGAUCAGGGCACCAUGUUCACAUCGGGGGAGUUCGAUGAAUUCGCAAUCGGUAUGGGAAUUAAAGUACUGAAUUCUUCUCCUUAUUAUGCUCAAGCCAAUGGGCAGGCCGAAGCGUCUAACAAAGGAAUUAUCAAGCUUAUUAAACGAAAAAUUGAAGAAAAUCCUAAGCGGUGGCAUACAUUAUUAAAUGAAGCAUUGUGGUCUUAUCGGAUGGCUUGUCAUGGAUCAACCAAGGUAUCACCCUAUCAAUUGGUGUAUGGACAUGAAGCAGUGUUGCCUUGGGAAAUUAAGGCUGGAUCUAGGCGAUUAUCUUUUCAAGAUCAAUUAACUUCCGAUGGUUAUGCCACUUUGAUGACCGAUGAAUUGGACGAUCUAGCAGGGCAUCGGUUAAAAGCUUUAAUGAGUAUAGAAGAAAAUAAGAAGAGAGUUGCUAGAUGGUAUGAUAAGAAAGUGAAGGCUAAAGAGUUUGCCGAUGGGGAUUUGGUAUGGAAAUUAAUUUUACCAAUUGGGACCAAAAGUUCGAAGUUUGGAAAGUGGUCUCCUAAUUGGGAGGGUCCUUAUCGGAUAAGUCGAUCGGCUCCUGGUAAUGCCUACAUUCUAGAAACCCUCGAAGGGAUUGAAUUUCCCAGAGCAUUAAACGGCAAAUAUUUAAAGAAGUACUACCCCAGUAUAUGGGUCGAUGCAUAGAAGUUUAGGUGCCGAUAACACUCCUAUCGGCUGGAUCCAAAUGCUUGGGGACAGGACGUGGUGUUUCAAAAGUUUGGGCGCCGAUAACAGUCCUAUCGGCUAGACUAAAAGCUGAGGAAGCAGGAAAGCGCAGAAACAAUGCCGAUGGAAACUCUAUGUGUUAAGCAGCGUCUGGAUUGCCGAUAUAGCGCGUAACCGAAUUUGGUUGGCUGCUUCUAUCUCCUUGAUGUCAUCAUCGGCAGAACCUUCUAUCGGCUUCAGCUUCUUCUUCAGUUGGAGUGCUUUGCGACCAUGAGCAUUUCACUCGCGCUCAAGAAGCCUGAUGGCCUCUGGCAAUUGGCUUUCUUCCUGUUGGGCUUGGGACAGAGCGUUCUCUACUUCCUUGAGCUCCGCCAAUAGGGACUCUUUUCUUGCCGAUAGAUCAGAUAUCUUCUGCUUCAGCGCGUCUCCAGAAUAUCUCAGGAUGCCGAUGUUAUUGUGCUUCUCAUCGGUCAAAAGCUUCUCUUUCCUCAUUUCAUCGGAGAGCUGAGUCUGAGCGGCUCUAUCGGCAAGCCGCCGAGAAGCUCUUUGGUACUGCAGUUGGCGACUCUCCAGAUGAGCGGCUUGGAACAGGAUUUCUUCAACAUCGGCUGGGACUUGGCCUCUGAGAGUUCUGAACAGGGUCUUGGUAGGGUCGGAAUCAUCAACCAAUUGCGCUGUGUCCUGGUGAAGGAGAGUUGACAAUUCUUCCAGCCUGACCCUGACCUCUGCCGAUGUGAUGCCGACCGACUGAGAAGUGCUUGCUUCUUCACCUUCUUCUUCAGAGAAAUCGAUGGCGAAGGAGAACAGGCUAUCGGGAGAAUCUUGUUCCUGGGAGGGAAAGCAAAAUUAGCUCAUACUUAGAGAAUCGGCAAAUAAUACUGGCGGUAAACAGUGACUUACUUGCUUCAAGGCGAUCUCUUGCCUUGGACUGGGAGGUGCUGACGGAGCUGCGGGCUGACCGGCCAAAGAUGCCGAUGGAACUACAGGUUGAUCGGCUAAGGUUGCCGAUGGGACGAUAUCGACUGAAAGGAGACAAGAAAGGUUAUGAGACUAAAUGAGAAUAAGUUCAUCGGCAACGGUAUUGUUAAAGUAUGUUACCUGGAAGGGGAACAACGGUUGUCUGAAUCGGGAGAACCGCCGAUGAUAUAAUUGGACCCACCGGACCAGUUGUUUGUUCACCCACAUCGACUGAUGUACCUUCUGUUUGAGGCUCUUCCUGCUGGGAUUCUUCCAUCUGUGGUGCUUCCUGCAUUGGUUGGGGAGAUGGCGCUUGCUGUGUCUGGGCUUCUGGAGAAGAAGGAGAAGACUCCACUGGGAUUGGAGAUACCGGAGGAAGAGGGGGAGUUGCCACCUUUUGGCGUUUCAUUUCGGCCCUGGUGCUCUUGACACCCUUCCUCUUUGGCUGGCUGGACUGGGUGGCAUCGGCACCUUGACGUGUGACCUUUGCCGAUGCACUGGUUUGCUGCAAUAACGAACAAGGGUUUAUAAGUAUAAAUAAAGCCGAUAUAAAGAUAGUCAGCGUAAAAGAUAAAGAUUUGACAAAUUGCCUUGAAAGCCCGCGCCAGAGUGGGAGCAGCUACCGUUGGUGAUGUCUGGGUUCUCCUGGUCGUAACUUUCCUGAGGCGCACACCCCGAUGCACGAUGGAAGCCAGGGUGGGAGCAUUGUGGCCGAUUGAGGAAAUCGGGCCUGAUGGAAACAAGUUGAUCGGCUUGCCACUCCUGCUAACCGAUGAGGGGAUGUUAUCAACCUGCAAAAGGAAUACAAGGGUAAGCUACUGAUGGAAAUAAUGUUGAAAAAAUGAAACAUCGGUUGGAGAUACUUACAGUGUCAUCGGGAAUUUCGUAUUCGGAGUCGAUCAUGCCGCGGUAUGAAAGGGCCGAUCUGCAGAAUAGAUGCUCUUUCCAUUCUGCCCACCAUAACUUGUAUGCCUGAGUGAUAAAAGCAGCCGGAACCCAUUCUGAUAGAUCUACAUCUGUAUCGGCGUUUGGUGGUAGUUGGGCUACUCGACUCCACUCAAGAAAGUUAUUGAUAGUUUCUCUGGGUUUUAUCACAUCGGCAUAAGGAAGUGCGAUUGGCAACUGGCCGAAAGCUAACUGGCGAGCUAAUGCCGAUGGAUUAUAAAAUUCAUAAGUCUGGGGAGAAGUUUUUGUGCUACCGAAGAAAUUCACUGGAAUGGCUCUGGGAGUCACAAUUGCCAUCAUCGCCUCAUUGUCCCUGUCGAGAGCUUCAUCAAAUGGAUUGAAGGUCAGAGGGAGCAUGCUAUCUGGGUCAUCAUAAGCCAACCAUGGUCGUUCAUCUCUGGCCAAACCCUCAUACAGAGUCUCGAAGAAUCGGCCGAUCUGAUCCGGAUUACUCCCUGAACCAGGUAGGACUAUGACGGCUUCGCCAAAGUUCAAGGGGGCACGCGUUGCCGAUUCCUCUUCACCCAACACAUGAUUUUCGGCUAUAUCUCUUGGGAAGUGCUGUGAGAACAAGUUGAAAUCAAGGCGCUUAUGCAGGUGCAGAUUGAGCCACAUAUUAAUAAACCACCAGGGGCCUCCCAAGUUGCGGAUGGAUUGGCCAAGCAGGAGUUUCUGGGCUACCUGAUGGAGAAGGUGGUAAACAGCGCCAAGCAAGUAUCGGCCGAGAGGAAAUUGGCCACCGUUAGCCAGUCUCUCUGCUGCCGAUAGAUAGACGGAAGUCGGUCCUGCCGAUCGACCACAGAAUACAAACUUGUCCAGCCACAUGUUCAGAAAGGUGGUUUGCUCCUUUAUGGUGAUAGGCCCUCUCCCGCGGUACUUCUGAAUAUACCCUGACCAACCGCCGAUAGCGCGAGUCUCCACUUUAGCACUGGGGGCAGUAUCAAAAAAGUGGGUGCUAUCGGCAGAAGAUAUAUCUAGACCAGUGAGCAUAGCUACAUCGGCAAGGGUAGGAGAAGCAGGGCCGUGGCCAAAAACAAAAGCAUUGAGGGUGUCUGACCAAAAGUAGGACGCAGCUAUCAGCAGUGACUCGUUCCUGUGCAUAUCGGCAAUGGAUAGCCUAAUGCAUUGGGCUAGCUUCCUUUCGCCCCACUGGACUUCAUAAGAAUUGCUGGCCCUCAAGAACCAGUCUUUCCACCCUAUGGUAGGGCUGGGCCAAGAGCGAAAAGUGUCUUUCCACAUAUCUAAAGAAAAGUUUUCAGCUCUAAAGGGGAUCCUAUUGGUUUCUGCGUUGAUAAGGUUGGUUGGAUCUGAAUCCCCUAGAGGGCCGAGACAUUGAAGGUGUGGUUGAUCGGUGGGGAUGACAAUUUUAUUGGACAACUCCUAGUGAUUUUGGGGGAAUAAAAAUACAAAGAAAAGGGAAAAGGAGAAUAUUCAGUAAGAUGAAUCGCGGAUGAACAGGAAUAAAAAUACAGAAGAUGAGAUGGAGAUCUGACCUCAGGGACGACGAAGCCAAUGGCCAUCUUGUCGUGAAGGAAGCGUGUGAAGGCGCCGGAGUUGAUGAAGAGGGGUACUUGUCGGAGACCUUAGGAGUUUUUGGUGGCGCCGCCGCUGGAAAAGUAAAGUUGGGUAGUAGAAUGGUGUGAUGGGGAAGGAGUACCCAAGAAGGAACUAUUUAUAGGACAAGAUGGGCAAGGGCAAAUCCGACUUAUCUCUUUGCCGCAUCCGAGAAACCCGAGGGUACUCAGGUGGAUAUGGCAACUGUUCGCACGGUAAUCCAGGGAUUGUGCAGGUGAUUUGACAGGAAGCGGUCAUUAUCUGAAGAUAUUUUACUGUGCGAGAUCUCCUGGUCGGUCCAUCGGCGAUAUUCUAUAACGGUCAUUUUGCCGAUGGGCGGAUAGAGGGGAAGUAAUUGUUUUUGCGAAUAUCCUGGUCAGAGCAUCGGCAGAUCUUUGUAACAGUAUUGUUACCGAUGUACGACUGAGAAAAAUGCCCGUUUAGGAAGUUGGGGAUUUCGAGGAAUCUGCGGAGGAUUAGGAUCAGAGUUGUCCAGAUUGAGGUUGUCGGUUACCAGAUUAGGAGCAUUAAUUGCGGGAGAAGGCAUCAUUACUGCAGAGAAUUUCGGAGCAUUAAUAGUUUUAUACUCCGAAACUGGGGGGCAUGUGUUGACACCGUUUUUGGGCACGUGUCUAGGAUGGCAGGAUAAGGUGGCAGUACGAUGUUUACAAAGCGGGUUGCCGAUGAGGAUGGUUGCCGAUGAGGGAGAAGUUGAAUGUGACAGGCAGUAAUAUGGUGCCGAUGGCUAGAUAAGAAAGUCUGCCGAUGACUAUGGCAAAGGAUCUGCCGAUGAUGCAAAGGAGGAGUCUGGAAGCUGCCGGUCGUUAUGUGGAGGAGUUUCGGUUUGUUACGAGGGAUAGUUUUGUUAUUUCCUUAAUUAUUUGCAUCGUUUUGUAUACGGAUUCCGUGUAAUUUGGAAUUCGAAUUCUAAUCGUGUCUGGUUGUAGCUCUUUGAGCAGGGUAUAAAUAUAGACCCUAGGGCCUUGUAAGAAGAAUCAAUCAGUCAAUCAAACAUACGUUUUUACUCAUAUUCCAGCAUCUACUUUUCGACGACUUCGUCAUACUUUUUUCCUUUUAUUACGAGUUCUUAGGAAUUCGUCGACUUAAGCUCGGCGUGUUCUCGAGUUCCGCGUGAGUACCUCUUAGCCGUGACAUCCGGGCGCAUCGCUGUUGUCAGGACUAAAGUAUUCGAGUUAUCACCUUUGCCGAUAGUAAGGUCAAAUCGGCUGGCACGCCUUAACGUUUGAAUCGGGUAUUAGCCCUUUGUGUUUGCAGAUCAGUUUUGCAUCAACACUACUGGAGUAACCCUGUUGUGGAAGUAAUUACUGACCUUCUGCCGGUCAAGAGAGACAACCCAGGACGCCCCGUCAUCCCGAUCUCCAUCGGCAUGGUGGACUUCCUAGAAGCACUCUGCGACUUUGGCUCCAGCGUCAACAUUAUGCCCAAGCCUGCAGAUCAGACACUAAGUUUCCCAAAGAGAAUAUUGAACAACCUCUUCGUCCGAGUUGGUACCUUGUACGCCCCAGCAGACUUCGUGGUGAUAGAGACUGGUACUGAUGAGAGGGCACCCAUCCUAGGGAGGCCAUUUGAACACCCAUCCUAGGGAGGCCAUUUGAACACCUCGGGAGCUGUCAUCUACGCUAGUGCUGUCAAGAUCAGUUUCUACAUCAAGGGGAAGAAGGAGACGUUUUCCUUCAAGAAACAAGACUACACAAAUCCCAGAGCAAUCCCGACAUGAACCAAGGAAGAGGACCAACAGGAGGAACAAGAACAAGCAAAUGUGUACCGAGUCAGCUAAGAUGGUCACUGCAGCUCAAGGAGGUCAAGAUCGUCAACUCAAGUCACCUUUCUUGAUCAAGAAGGACGACCCUGGUGUUCCAAGCAUCGAGUGAACAAUCAACGGAUAUUCUUUUUAGAAGACACUCUAUGACACCAGAUCUGACGUCAACAUAGUGGCCGCAGUCACUUAUCAGCUCCUCCAUGGAACCAUGUCCCUACAACCAACAUACAUUCAGCUCCAGAUGAUUUUAAAGUUAUUGACAUGGGAGAAGACAAGUACGAUCCAUCCAUCAUCCUUAGGAGACCGUUCCUCAGCACUGUUAAAGCAAUCAUCUACAUUGGAACCGGAGAAGUCCACAUGCACUUCCCCUCUGAGAAGGUACGCUGCUAUUUUACUGACCCUAACUAUAUAGUUGAAGACUCUAAGCAGGUCAGGGCAAGAAGAAGACGACGCAACCGCAACCAGAGGAGGCAAAUCAUCAAGGACGGAUGGGCAGACUAUGAAGGAGAAGUCGUAAGAUCUGAAGACAUACAGCUUGAACAGAACUGUCCUGAGGAGACCGUAGCACCGAGUCAGGUGUGUAGAGAGAAGAUAGUUAUACACGAAGAGCAGGCUCUGCCGGAACCACCGACUAUGCCAUCCAGCAAAUCCCAGGACAACUGAGAAAAUGGAGAGUCCCGUUCGGAGGAUUUAAAAACAUCGAACGCCUUGCCAAGAGGUAAACUUGGUAGUUAUCCUUUUCCUUUCAAUUAUUUUAAAAUAGUUUGCUUAGUUAAUCAGGUUCAUAUCAUCUUGAAAAGAAAAUAAAAAUGUUAAAAAUAGUAAGCCCCAUAUGAGUAUCCUCAUGGCAUAAAACCCAUAAGUACAUUCACUGUGGUAGCAUAAAAACAAAAUAAAUAUAUUUAUGUGCUAUAAAAAUGAAAAUAUAAAAAUAAAUUUAUGAUCCUACCAAAGAGAGUAACAUUUAUUGAGGAGGCUCAACAUGAUAAAGGCUAGAUAUUUAUGCUAACACUUAACUAGUUCCACAAAGCUUUGUUGUCUAUUUGAGCUCCACAGAAUUAAAGGAUCAAAGAAGACUAGUUGACGGAGGACAUCCUAAUCAAUGUCAGGGUGCUGCCGACAUUCAAAUACACCUACGCCACCUGCUACAUCAAAAGGAAUUACGUCAAAAUCCAGCUUGGGGGAGAGCACCUCCAUUUAUCCAGCUAAGUAUUCUACUCACGUUUAUAUUUUACUCAAAUAAUAAAAAGAUGCAUAAUCAUAAAAACCCAAAUAAAUAUUUUGUGUUUAUAUAUAUAUAUCUUUGCUUAGUUUGCUAAAUAAAUAAAUAAAUAAAAUUUGCUAUGAACCCUCAUGAUAAGCUCUCACAUGGAAAGAUGAAUAGUUGCUCUGCCAUGACUAGUUCUCAAAAUUGAAAUCUCUCUCAAGUUUAGGCAUCACUGUUAUUAAUUAACAUUUGCUCUAAACCUGAACUUGUGGGAAGAGUACUUGAUCUAAAGUCUAAGUCGUUAACGGAUAUGAUAUGGGAAGGUUGAGCUGUUGUUUAUCUGUUCCUAGAGAUGCUAGAAUUCUGGAGAAUUUUAUCUUUGAAAAAUCUUUAAAAUAACACAUGAUGAGUUCCUGUAUGAUGAGAGAUUAAAAUCCUACCACAGCCAUAUAUACAUGCUUGCUAGACUUUGAGCCACAUAUUUACUUUUUACUGCUUAUGAGCAUUGAGUGUGGUCAAGCUGUGUAGACCCUUAGGAGCUUGUCAUGUGGUUCAGUCAAGAUUCACUUGCACGUUCACUCAUACAUGCUACUUCUACUCUGGAAGUACCAUCCACAUAUACCCAUUUCCAUCUCCAGAACCACCCAAAAAUAUUCUACUCCUAAUCCGGGAGAGAAUAGCCAAAAAUAUUUCUAUUUUUUCCCUGUGAAAUAAAUGCUCAAGAUAUCUUGUUACUACCACUUGCUAUAUUAUCUCAUGAGAUGAGUGCUCUCAAGAAAAAAAAGAGAAAAAAAAGUAUACGAGGAAAUAAAAAGGGGCAUGUGCCCGGAACCUCGAAAGAAAAGAAAAAGUGAGACGAGAGGUAAAAAUGGACAAGUGUCCGACAGUAGAAUUAGGGGUACAAGAUACCCACCUGAGAGAAAAGAAAAAAAAAAGAAAAAGAAAGAAAAAGAAAAUACAGAGCAUCUCAUUCUCCCUGAAAGUUUCAAAAGAGCAAGAAAGGUAUGUAUCGCCUCAAAAGAGCACAAGUAGAAUUAGACUUUCACCAUUGUUAUCACCAUCAUCACUAUAUACUAUUCAUUCGCCACACAUGCACAUCUUGAUUUGACUUAUUGACUUGUUCUUCUGGAUCCAUGGUUUGACUAUGCAAUAAAUGUCUUGUAAGUAUGUAUUAGCUGUCUCCCACCUAUGAGCUCCAGAUAUCAAAGCCUUAUUAGAGUAGGGUGAGAGAGAAGGCAAUGUCACUAUGCCUUAUACUACAAAUACCACAUACUUUGAGAGAAGGCAUAUACCAUUACUGCCUUGGUAAGGAUCCAGAAAUACCUCAAAAGAGAGACUAGAGAGAGUCAUACAAGGAAUCUCUGAGUUUUAUUUGAAAGUCUGCAAAAACUCCAGAGCUAUAGCUGAUCAAGAAUAAGAGACAUGGUGCUUGAUUAGACCGUUCUAUCUUUUAACUACUCAAGACAGAAGUGACGGUUACAAGUCCCAUGGUGAAAGGUAAAUGAGUAAGUUUUAAGUCUUAACAGUUUACUCUAACCAGAGAUGAGAUCUUGUUUAAACGCAUGUGUAUCUUUAAGUUAUGAAACCACUGCAGAAACUCUUGAGUUCAUCUUUGCUCAGGGACGAGCAAAGGUUAAGCUUGGGGGAGCUUGUUGACGGUCCUUAAUGCUCACAUUUAACCAUCAAUUAAUCAUGGAAAAGGAUCCAAAUGCAACCAACACCCAGACUUAGGGUUUUAUCUGACAGAAUUCCACGAGUUUUGGUGUUUGUCUAUUUCUGCAGGGGGUUAUCAGGAAAUAUGGAAGAAAGGCCCACACGUCGGGUUUACAUAGAGAUAUUAACGUGUCGUGCAAUUUUCUAUCAUCUAGAAGACUCCAGAAGCCACGGGACCGAAGCAAAAGCCGAGAGGCCUCAGGGACAGGGCGCCCGCCCACCUCUUUCCACCAAUCAGGGUGAAGUUCGGGGAUCAUGCUCCACCGACCUAAUACUUCAAGGAAAACCACACGAUCAAUGUCAGUUUGAUCCGACGGCCCAGAUUCACUUGAAGGGACUAUAAAACCAGACCCCCUGGCCCCUGGAGAGCAUACCUCUUCUACAGAAUCAAAGUUAGGGUUUCAAUUCUUCAUCCAAGUAGAGAGGAUCCCUCUAGUUCUUCUAGUUCUACCUCUAGUUCAUCUAGAUCUAGUUCUAGUUCAUCUAGUUCUAGUUCUAGUUCCUCUAGUUCUAGUUCUAGUUAGUUCUAGUUGUAAUCUAGAAAAUAGGGAGAGAGAAGAGGAGAGCGGAGGAGGAGCCGGAUCUGUCGGAUCUUCCUCAACAUUAUACUUUUGCAGCAUCUGGUUCGUUCUUCAUCGUUCUCCAGGUUCUUCAAUUCAUAAUCCUGAGUUCUUUAAUUACUUUUAUUUACAUUCAAGUUAUUUAUUGGAUUCCCGCUUGCAUCAAGUGCUCUAGUCUUUAUAACGCUAGAGUAGUAAUUAAUAGAUUAGACGUGGUGUUUAGUCUUGCGAUUACCUGGAAUUGCACCCAAUCCUACGGAUUGUUGUGGUAGCCUUAGGGUAGUUACAGCCCUAACGGUCGACGUAUUCCACCACGUUCGGAUCGGUGUUUGUAGGACCGUACUCAGACCUUCCUAGCCCCCUUCUCAUCUCUUUCUGUGGUUAGUGCUCUGAUGUCCCGAUAUAGAUAAUCUUGAAGUAAUUCUUGAUUCUUAGAUCAACUAGAGAACUCUCAGGAAACUUCCUCUCUUCCCACCAAAAAUACUUAUAUAGUUAUCCUUGGGCGAUCUUGAUUCUUAAUUAGUACACUCACGUUCCCUGUGGAAAAUCGAUACUCUGGAAUACUCCCGGGUGAAGGCUACAUCGGUAUCCGUGCGCUUGC
RNAcentral lists this long non-coding RNA (34149 nucleotides) under Sorghum bicolor (sorghum). Its description in RNAcentral is "long non-coding RNA (SBIC_LNC015688)". The stretch from base 13681 to 13787 matches the Rfam family "Plant small nucleolar RNA R71". Lineage: Eukaryota; Viridiplantae; Streptophyta; Magnoliopsida; Poales; Poaceae. The record is from RNAcentral.